RNAcentral lists this long non-coding RNA (1484 nucleotides) under Homo sapiens (human). RNAcentral describes it as "CCDC26 long non-coding RNA". Lineage: Eukaryota; Metazoa; Chordata; Mammalia; Primates; Hominidae. The record is from RNAcentral.
GAGAGAGAAUAUAUGAGAAAGUGAAGAAGAGAAAAUGGGAGAGGGAGAGAAAACAUACAAUUAUGUAUGUCUGGAGCACACCAUAUUAAAGGAGGGAGUGGCAGAAAACGUGAGGUGGGAAUCAAAUCAUGCUGGGCUUUUUGGCCAGGCCUUUUAAAGGACCAUGGGCUGUUUGAGGGGCCAACAUCAUUAACUGAUUGUGCCUGCAGCCUGGCCUGUUGCCCACAGCGGUCUACCUGCCACACUGGGAAAGAUCGAGCAGAGACAGAGAAGAAAAGGAGGCUCCAUUUUUCAGGCUGCUCUCCCGCAGGCUCAUGUUUUGUGUUCAUGCCAGGCAGAGAACACAAAAUGUUCCAAUAAAUAAGUAUCAAAGGUUAGUGGUGAAAAUGAAGGAGGAGGAGGCAUUGCGUGAAAAACUAAACAUGCAAAAUAUUACACACAAAGAGAACCAAAAUGCAGGUUCACUGGAAAUGAUAGACAAUAUGUUAAAACAAGAGGAGAGAAGAGAGCUGAAAUAAUCAAAUGGAAACACACAAUUUAGGGCUAAGAUCUUGUUGUGUUCAGCCACAAAUGAUGGCCAGCAGUGAGGAAUCUGUGUGUUCUCCACACUCUUCGCUCCUGGGAAGUCAACUCACAUGGACCAUGAUAUCAAUAUCUGCUCCUUCCCCUAAUAUCUGUUUGACCUUGGGUCAGUUACUUAAACUUCCUAAGCCUUAGUUUCUUUGUCUGGAAAAUAGGGAUAGUUAUACCUACCACACAACCACUUUGUAAUGAAUAUGUUGGAAAUUAUAUGCAAAUUGGCUUCCGUUGGUGUUUGGAACAUAGUAGGUUUUUAACUGGAAUAUAAUAGCUACCAUUAUCAGUAUCAUCAUAUUAAUUUAUAUUUCCAUCUUCAGCCCUUAACCCAGGAUCUUCAGUAAAUGUUGAAUUCUCAAAUUUGUUAAAUUCACUUGUCUAUACUAAUAUUUUACUCUAGGUUUCUUAGAAUAUUCUAGAUAAUAUUAUUAUGUAGAAUAUGUUAUGUAAGCUUCAUCUUAUCUGUAAAUAUAGUUUUACUUUUUCCUUUCUAAUUUUUAUGUCGAUUACUUCUUUUUCUUGGCUUAUUGAAUUGGCUAGGAUUCCCGUACAGUGUUGAAUACGUGCAGCAAGACUGCACAUCUUGCCUUGUUCCUGGUCCCACAGAGAGAAUAUCCAGUACUUCACAAUAAGUAUGUGUUAAUUGUAGAUUUUAUUAGAUUGAGGAAGUUCCCUUUCCUUUCAAGUCAGUCUUUUUAUUUUAAACAUGUAUUGAAGUUUUGUCAAAUGUCUUCAUCUAUUGGAAUAAUUAUACAUAUCUCUUUUUUAUUCUGUUAAUAUUACAUUUCAAUCUUCUGUCUACCUAAAAUCCCUAGAAUAAUCUCCAUUUGGCUAUGAUGUGUUGUGCUUUUAUAUAUUACUGAAUUCUAUAUGCCAAUAUUAUUAAAAUUUUCUGUCUUUAUGAGAAA